CCUACGGGUGGCAGCAGUGAGGAAUAUUGGUCAAUGGACGAGAGUCUGAACCAGCCAAGUAGCGUGAAGGAUGACUGCCCUAUGGGUUGUAAACUUCUUUUAUAUGGGAAUAAAAUGUUCCACGUGUGGGAUUUUGUAUGUACCAUAUGCAUAAGGAACGGCUAACUACGUGCCAGCAGCCGCGGUAAUACGGAGGAUCAGAGCGUUAUCCGGAUUUAUUGGGUUUAAAGGGAGCGUAGGUGGAUUGUUAAGUCAGUUGUGAAAGUUUGCGGCUCAACCGUAAAAUUGCAGUUGAAACUGGCAGUCUUGAGUACAGUAGAGGUGGGCGGAAUUCGUGGUGUAGCGGUGAAAUGCUUAGAUAUCACGAAGAACUCCGAUUGCGAAGGCAGUUCACUGGACUGCAACUGACGCUGAGGCUCGAAAGUGUGGGUAUCAAACAGGAUUAGAUACCCUUGUAGUC
Molecule: ribosomal RNA, 460 nt
Filed under: uncultured bacterium
Lineage: Bacteria
Description: partial 16S ribosomal RNA
Rfam family: Bacterial small subunit ribosomal RNA
Source: RNAcentral